RNAcentral lists this ribosomal RNA (275 nucleotides) under uncultured Aquicella sp. Its description in RNAcentral is "partial 16S ribosomal RNA". It matches the Rfam family "Bacterial small subunit ribosomal RNA", at positions 338 to 605 of the family's 1533-position model. The record is from RNAcentral. Lineage: Bacteria; Pseudomonadati; Pseudomonadota; Gammaproteobacteria; Legionellales; Coxiellaceae.
CCUACGGGUGGCUGCAGUGGGGAAUCUUGGACAAUGGGGGCAACCCUGAUCCAGCGAUGCCGCGUGAGUGAAGAAGGCCCUCGGGUCGUAAAGCUCUUUAGGUUGGGACGAAGGUUAUCUGUGGAUAAUACGGGUAAUUUGACGGUACUAACAGAAUAAGCACCGGCAAACUCUGUGCCAGCAGCCGCGGUAAUACAGAGGGUGCAAGCGUUAAUCGGAGUUACUGGGCGUAAAGGGCGCGUAGGCGGUUUAUUGGGUGUGAUGUGAAAGCCUUG